GUGCGCGAAUGGCCAAACGGUAAGGUGAUGGGCCAGUAAUCAAUCGACAGGCAGUGGACAAGUUCAACCCCGGCUGAGGCAAAUAGAAUUGCUACAACGAAGGAUCACCGGAAGACGGUCUGGAGCAAGACCGGAGCUCGGAGGAGCAUUGGGAAAGAAAAAGGGGG
Caenorhabditis elegans is the source of this 167-nucleotide non-coding RNA. The record is from Ensembl. Lineage: Eukaryota; Metazoa; Nematoda; Chromadorea; Rhabditida; Rhabditidae.